CCUACGGGAGGCAGCAGUGGGGAAUAUUGCGCAAUGGGCGAAAGCCUGACGCAGCGACGCCGCGUGAGGGAUGAAGGUCUUCGGAUCGUAAACCUCUGUCAGCAGGGAAGAACGGUCACUGUGCUAAUCAGCAGUGAAUUGACGGUACCUGCAAAGGAAGCAACGGCUAACUCCGUGCCAGCAGCCGCGGUAAUACGGAGGGUGCGAGCGUUAAUCGGAAUUACUGGGCGUAAAGCGCUCGUAGGCGGUAUGUCAAGUCAAGGGUGAAAUCCCCGCGCUAAACGUGGGAACUGCCUUUGAAACUGGCAGACUGGAGGGUGUGAGAGGAUAGUGGAAUUCCAGGUGUAGGAGUGAAAUCCGUAGAGAUCUGGAGGAACAUCAGUGGCGAAGGCGACUAUCUGGCACAUAACUGACGCUGAGGAGCGAAAGCGUGGGUAGCAAACAGGAUUAGAUACCCGAGUAGUC
This 465-nucleotide ribosomal RNA is filed under the name uncultured bacterium. RNAcentral's name for it is "partial 16S ribosomal RNA". It matches the Rfam family "Bacterial small subunit ribosomal RNA", at positions 338 to 795 of the family's 1533-position model. The record is from RNAcentral.